This 465-nucleotide ribosomal RNA is filed under the name Vreelandella stevensii. Its description in RNAcentral is "partial 16S ribosomal RNA". It matches the Rfam family "Bacterial small subunit ribosomal RNA", at positions 338 to 795 of the family's 1533-position model. The record is from RNAcentral. Lineage: Bacteria; Pseudomonadati; Pseudomonadota; Gammaproteobacteria; Oceanospirillales; Halomonadaceae.
CCUACGGGGGGCUGCAGUGGGGAAUAUUGGACAAUGGGGGGAACCCUGAUCCAGCCAUGCCGCGUGUGUGAAGAAGGCCCUCGGGUUGUAAAGCACUUUCAGUGAGGAAGAACGCCUGGUGGUUAAUACCCAUCAGGAAAGACAUCACUCACAGAAGAAGCACCGGCUAACUCCGUGCCAGCAGCCACGGUAAUACGGAGGGUGCGAGCGUUAAUCGGAAUUACUGGGCGUAAAGCGCGCGUAGGUGGCUUGAUAAGCCGGUUGUGAAAGCCCCGGGCUCAACCUGGGAACGGCAUCCGGAACUGUCAAGCUAGAGUGCAGGAGAGGAAGGUAGAAUUCCCGGUGUAGCGGUGAAAUGCGUAGAGAUCGGGAGGAAUACCAGUGGCGAAGGCGGCCUUCUGGACUGACACUGACACUGAGGUGCGAAAGCGUGGGUAGCAAACAGGAUUAGAUACCCGAGUAGUC